AAGAGCAAGAUAAAAAUCUGUCUCAUUUACAGCUCUGCUCAGACUGAUCAUCAUCUCCUGGAGCUGAAACUGCAGCCAUGACCAUCCGUCCUCGUUCUCUCCUUCUGGGUCUGCUGGUCAUCCUCUACCUUCAGUCCUGUGCAGUGGGACAAAAUGUAAAAGCACCAAAAGAAUGCUGUUUCAGUUCCUAUACCAGACCAAUCCCUGUAGCUGUUAUUACUGAGUAUGAAAAAACGAACCAUGACUGUACAAGAGCUGGAGUGGUUUUUACCACCAUGAAGGGGUAUCGUGUGUGUGUGGACCCCAGCUUUAGGUGGGUGAAGCGAGCCAUGAACAUAAUCGAUCGUCGAAUUGUGGAAAGUCCAACCUGAACUCCGCAGAGUGAUUACAUCUCCUCUUUAUUAAUGGGAAAAUAACUGCUUCCCGCUUUCCUGCUCUUUAUGACUACAGCAGUGUGCUCGUCUCUGGGUGAAGGAAUACUGCUUUUCUGUUUUUAGUAAGUCAUUUUUGUAUAUUCGGUACGGACUGGAGAAAUGUGACUUUAUGUAAGGCAGACUGAAAUACAUGAGAAUAAUGUCAUCAAUGUGUUUUUUUUUUAUAGUACAUUUUAUAUUAGAUGCUUUUUUCAAUAUUUGAGUAAUUUGGGGUCAACAAGAAAGCAUUAAAUGAUUAAUAAUAUACUGUAAUUCUGUGCUUAGUUAUUUUUGUCAUGUGCUGCAAAGAUUUGAAUAUCAUUUUUUAAAGAUGAAGCACUCGAUGUUCUACAGACUUUGUCAUUUUAGAAUCCACAGCUCUGUUCAUCAUUCUGGACACGUCUAACAUUUCUUCUUUUUUAUUUGCAGUUUCUAUUUAAUGAUUUGGAAUCUACAAAACUGUAAAAUAUUAUCAUGUUUUCUUAACUCUUAUGUGAGCAAGAGUUUCUGUCUUGUCACUUUUUUCUGUAAUAAAAUAGU
Long non-coding RNA from Colossoma macropomum (tambaqui), 953 nucleotides. RefSeq lists it as uncharacterized. The transcript is spliced from 3 exons. The record is from RefSeq and is a predicted model, not a curated record. Lineage: Eukaryota; Metazoa; Chordata; Actinopteri; Characiformes; Serrasalmidae.